GGAGAGCUGACCGAGCGGUCGAAGGUGCUUGAUUCGAAAUCAAGUGUACCGUCAGGUACCAAGGGUUCGAAUCCCUUGCUCUCCGCCA
Molecule: transfer RNA, 88 nt
Filed under: Myxococcales bacterium
Lineage: Bacteria; Pseudomonadati; Myxococcota; Myxococcia; Myxococcales
Description: tRNA-Ser
Rfam family: tRNA
About the family: Transfer RNA (tRNA) molecules are approximately 80 nucleotides in length. Their secondary structure includes four short double-helical elements and three loops (D, anti-codon, and T loops). Further hydrogen bonds mediate the characteristic L-shaped molecular structure. tRNAs have two regions of fundamental functional importance: the anti-codon, which is responsible for specific mRNA codon recognition, and the 3' end, to which the tRNAs corresponding amino acid is attached (by aminoacyl-tRNA synthetases). tRNAs cope with the degeneracy of the genetic code in two manners: having more than one tRNA (with a specific anti-codon) for a particular amino acid; and 'wobble' base-pairing, i.e. permitting non-standard base-pairing at the 3rd anti-codon position.
Source: RNAcentral